UACGUAGGCAGCGAGCGUUGUUCGGAGUUACUGGGCGUAAAGGGUGUGUAGGCGGUUUUUUAAGUUUGGUGUGAAAUCUCCCGGCUCAACCGGGAGGGUGCGCCGAAAACUGGGAGACUAGAGUGCGGGAUGGGAGAGUAGAAUUCCUGGUGUAGCGGUGAAAUGCGUAGAUAUCAGGAGGAAUACCGGUGGUAUAGACGGCUCUCUGGACCGCCACUGACGCUGAGACACGAAAGCGUGGGUAGCAAACAGG
This 253-nucleotide ribosomal RNA is filed under the name uncultured bacterium. RNAcentral's name for it is "partial 16S ribosomal RNA". It matches the Rfam family "Bacterial small subunit ribosomal RNA", at positions 524 to 776 of the family's 1533-position model. The record is from RNAcentral.